UCAGUUGUUGUUUUAUAUGCUGCACAUUUUCAGAACCGACACUUUGUUUCGUGGUGUUACUCUUGGAGGGAACCUCUAGGUGUGGGAAGGCGUCAGGGAACUCCUCACUGUUUAAUCUUGACAAUAGUACUUCUUAUCUAAAAGGAGCACCAGAAGAAGGGGGGGGGACUAAUAAAGAUACAAAGAACUUGACUUGGAUAACGAUAAGGAGAAAGAGAAAAGGAGAAUCUGUUAAAAUACUAGUGC
Molecule: long non-coding RNA, 246 nt
Organism: Macadamia integrifolia
Lineage: Eukaryota; Viridiplantae; Streptophyta; Magnoliopsida; Proteales; Proteaceae
Exons: 3
Source: RefSeq, a predicted model, not a curated record